This 138-nucleotide ribosomal RNA is filed under the name uncultured bacterium. RNAcentral describes it as "partial 16S ribosomal RNA". It matches the Rfam family "Bacterial small subunit ribosomal RNA", at positions 355 to 509 of the family's 1533-position model. The record is from RNAcentral.
UGGGGAAUAUUGCGCAAUGGGGGCAACCCUGACGCAGCAACGCCGCGUGAUUGAAGAAGGCCUUCGGGUUGUAAAGAUCUUUAAUCGGGGACGAAUUUUGACGGUACCCGAAGAAUAAGCUCCGGCUAACUACGUGCC